GACGAGGGGGGCAAGCGUUGUUCGGAAUUAUUGGGCGUAAAGGGCGCGUAGGCGGUUUGACAAGUCUGAUGUGAAAUCUCUGGGCUCAACCCAGAGUCUGCAUUAGAAACUGUCGGGCUUGAGUAUGGGAGAGGUGAGUGGAAUUUCCGGUGUAGCGGUGAAAUGCGUAGAUAUCGGAAGGAACACCUGUGGCGAAAGCGGCUCACUGGACCAUAACUGACGCUGAGGCGCGAAAGCUAGGGGAGCAAACAGG
This 253-nucleotide ribosomal RNA is filed under the name uncultured bacterium. RNAcentral's name for it is "partial 16S ribosomal RNA". It matches the Rfam family "Bacterial small subunit ribosomal RNA", at positions 524 to 776 of the family's 1533-position model. The record is from RNAcentral.